ACUUUCAACAACGGAUCUCUUGGUUCUGGCAUCGAUGAAGAACGCAGCGAAAUGCGAUAAGUAAUGUGAAUUGCAGAAUUCAGUGAAUCAUCGAAUCUUUGAACGCACAUUGCGCCCCCUGGUAUUCCGGGGGGCAUGCCUGUUCGAGCGUCAUUGC
This 157-nucleotide ribosomal RNA is filed under the name Lecidea cancriformis. Its description in RNAcentral is "5.8S ribosomal RNA". It matches the Rfam family "5.8S ribosomal RNA". Rfam says of the family: 5.8S ribosomal RNA (5.8S rRNA) is a component of the large subunit of the eukaryotic ribosome. It is transcribed by RNA polymerase I as part of the 45S precursor that also contains 18S and 28S rRNA. RNAcentral also lists the same sequence under 1 other name. Lineage: Eukaryota; Fungi; Ascomycota; Lecanoromycetes; Lecideales; Lecideaceae. The record is from RNAcentral.